Long non-coding RNA from Juglans microcarpa x Juglans regia, 2029 nucleotides. RefSeq lists it as uncharacterized. Lineage: Eukaryota; Viridiplantae; Streptophyta; Magnoliopsida; Fagales; Juglandaceae. The record is from RefSeq and is a predicted model, not a curated record. The transcript has 2 exons.
UUUUUAUUCUCAAUGUUUUUUUUAAUGCUUGAAUUAGAAUCAUUAGGUGCUUUGAAAGCGUUUGGCACCUUUUUUUCUUAUUUCGAGCAUGUGCUAAUUAUUUUCUUAAUCAUGUGUAUUAGUGUGUCAAUUUCACGGACUCUCAGGCUUGAAAUCAAGUACGUAAAAUACGUUUCUGUGUUGGCUACCUAAAGUACUCAUUCGGUACAUUUAUUUUUAAAUCUGUAUCUCAUUGGAUAGGACGGUAAGUGCAAGCAACGUAAAGAUCAUGGUAUAUUGUGUAGUAGUGUGCCAAUGUUCAAUAAAUCUUCUUUUCCGAUUACAGAUUGUCGCAUCACUUAGAUUGUGCCUUUGUUUCAGACUACUGUCAUGUGGUUAAGCGUAAUAUUUGCAUUUCCUAUACUUCGAUGCAACGAGCGUGAACAUUAAGACAAUAUGGUUAGUAACUUAUGAUUCUGCACCACAUAUCAGACUCUAGGUAUAUGUUACGAACCAAAUCCAAACCAUAUGCAUACUCCAACAAAAAUGAUAUAUCCUACAUCCACAUCCCACUCUUAUCCUACUAUGUUACAUGGCAUUACUCAUCAACCUCUGAAUAUGUUAUUUGACAAAAAAAAAAAAAAUGAUCUAAUGGUUGACAAAUGAUGUCACGUCAGCACAGUGUGAUGAGAGUGGAAUAAGAAUGUAAUAUAUAACACUACUACAAAAGGAGUAGUCGAGGUUGCAAUUGGAGCCUUUUGGAUUCAUCCUCCUAGGCACUAUUGGAUCUCUUUCACCACUCUUUCCCUCCUAUACUCAAUAUGGCAUGCUGCAAUCUCCUCACCUUAAAUAUCCAACAUUCUUAUCAUGUCAUUUAGUUAUGGGCAGCACAGCUCAACACUUCUAGAUGGGAAUUGGCUUUGAUAUCAUCUGUAAUGGCCCAAAAAAAGUCGAAGUCACAUUUGAGCUUGUACUCUAAAAUGACUAAUCAAGGUCACAAUUAAAACUUCUUGAAAUCAUUAUAAACUACAGUAACUUCUCUCUCCCGAGCAACGUGAGAUUUCAUUCACCUCAAUUUCCCUCCUAUACUUAAUCCUGGGUAUUACAUUAGGGAUACAAAAAGGCAGGUUCUUACUCAUUUUCCAUAAUUUUAUUUCGGCAUGCAAGAUGUGUUGGCUCCACAUAUAUCCUUGUUCCUACAAGUAGGUAUUCUGUUUUCAUCGUCAGCUUGAAAUUCAGGUGAUUUGGUAGGAUUAAACUCUAGAUAGGUUUAGGAAUAAACGAUAGUCUUGUUUUCAGAGGGGAGAAGGUCUAGAAAUUGCAAGGAAGUUAUUGCAUUAGCAAAACUUGUGUGAUGACAAGAGGUAGUAGUUAUCAACAUACAAUGCAAAUGGUAGUUGAAGAUUGUUCACAAUGUUUGGUGUGUGUAGGUGUGUGACAACAAGAGGCAACUACCCUAUCAACAUACAAUGCAUGGUUUUAAUGUGUUUUGAUAUUAAAUUGUUGUAACUUGAGUGUUUCUACCCGCAUGGUAUUUCAGCCUUAACUCGUAAGUGGUUGAAGAGAAUUUAUUGUUCGCAAUGGCUUCUAACUUGUGUGCUUCUGUGCACAUGUUGUAUUUUUGUGUGUGCAUGUGUACGUUGCUUCAUUAUAUAUAUAUAUAUAUAUAUAUAUAUAUAUAUAUAUAUAUUAUUGGCAUUGGGUGUCCGGGAAUAGCAUUCUAACUAAUCCCGAGGUUGGACAGGCUCUCGGCAAGGAGUUUUCUGCAAGUGCACCUCUGGUAAUUCAAGGGAAAAAUCUCCCAGUCCGAUAGCCCUUAAAGAUUGUUUGCAUUCACAGGGAUUUGAACCUUAGACCUUGGGGAGCUUCAACCUUUCAGUUUUGCAUCAAACUUGUUGGAGAUUGUAUAAAUCAUAACCAUAACUUUUGCAGUUUGAUCUGAGAAUGGCAUUUGUCUAUCCUUCCUAGCCAACUGCAAAAUUUGUAACUUUUACUGGGACCUCCUCUUUUUCACUUAUAGUACUGAUGCAUAUUUUUAAUUUGGACAAAA